Molecule: ribosomal RNA, 253 nt
Filed under: uncultured bacterium
Lineage: Bacteria
Description: partial 16S ribosomal RNA
Rfam family: Bacterial small subunit ribosomal RNA
Source: RNAcentral
UACGAAGGGGGCUAGCGUUGUUCGGAAUCACUGGGCGUAAAGCGUACGUAGGCGGACCAUUAAGUCGGGGGUGAAAUCCCAGGGCUCAACCCUGGAACUGCCUUCGAUACUGGUGGUCUGGAGUCCGGGAGAGGUGAGUGGAACUCCUAGUGUAGAGGUGAAAUUCGUAGAUAUUAGGAAGAACACCAGUGGCGAAGGCGGCUCACUGGCCCGGUACUGACGCUGAGGUACGAAAGCGUGGGGAGCAAACAGG